AUACGGAGGGGGCUAGCGUUGUUCGGAAUUACUGGGCGUAAAGCGCACGUAGGCGGAUUAAAAAGUUAGAGGUGAAAUCCCAGGGCUUAACCCUGGAACUGCCUUUAAAACUAGUAGUCUAGAGUUCGAGAGAGGUGAGUGGAAUUCCAAGUGUAGAGGUGAAAUUCGUAGAUAUUUGGAGGAACACCAGUGGCGAAGGCGGCUCACUGGCUCGAUACUGACGCUGAGGUGCGAGAGCGUGGGGAGCAAACAGGAUUAGAAACCCCAGUAGUCC
RNAcentral lists this ribosomal RNA (274 nucleotides) under uncultured bacterium. Its description in RNAcentral is "partial 16S ribosomal RNA". It matches the Rfam family "Bacterial small subunit ribosomal RNA", at positions 523 to 796 of the family's 1533-position model. The record is from RNAcentral.